This 380-nucleotide long non-coding RNA is filed under the name Elaeis guineensis (African oil palm). RNAcentral's name for it is "long non-coding RNA (EGUI_LNC080453)". The record is from RNAcentral. Lineage: Eukaryota; Viridiplantae; Streptophyta; Magnoliopsida; Arecales; Arecaceae.
GCCUGAGGGUAGAGGAGAUCGGCCAAGGGCCCUUCCGCAACCUGAACCACCAAGAAGGGAGGAGCAGCCCAGAGAUCGGCCUCCUAUCGGGACCAUCGACUCCAUCGCCGGAGGGCCUCAAGGAGGAGUAAACCUCUCGCAACCGUGGGACUCGAGAAACCUGUAAAUGUAUCGCUUACGAUUUCACCUUGAAUCUAAAUUCCUUUCUACUUGACAUGCUCUUCCCAUUUGGCAUGGAUUUGUCAUGACUGGGUAUAACCCCUUCAAACGCCUAAAACAAAGUUAUGUUAGGAAUGGGAGGAGAACCUCAUCCUAACAUACCUAAAAUGAAAGUCCGAUUAUCUCGAGAUCAGAUUGGGGGAGAGGCCUUACAAUGCCCU